UACAGAGGGUGCGGGCGUUGUCCGGAAUCACUGGGCGUAAAGGGCGCGUAGGCGGCUUUUCAAGCGUGCGGUGAAAGCUCGGGGCUUAACUCCGAGUCUGCCGUGCGAACUGGGAGGCUUGAGUCUGGUAGAGGUCGAUGGAAUUCCGGGUGUAGCGGUGGAAUGCGUAGAGAUCCGGAGGAAGACCGGUGGCGAAGGCGGUCUGCUGGGCAGUUUCUGACACUGAGGCGCGACAGCGUGGGGAGCAAACAGG
This 253-nucleotide ribosomal RNA is filed under the name uncultured bacterium. RNAcentral describes it as "partial 16S ribosomal RNA". It matches the Rfam family "Bacterial small subunit ribosomal RNA", at positions 524 to 776 of the family's 1533-position model. The record is from RNAcentral.